This 253-nucleotide ribosomal RNA is filed under the name uncultured bacterium. RNAcentral describes it as "partial 16S ribosomal RNA". It matches the Rfam family "Bacterial small subunit ribosomal RNA", at positions 524 to 776 of the family's 1533-position model. The record is from RNAcentral.
UACGUAGGGCGCAAGCGUUGCCCGGAAUUAUUGGGCGUAAGGCGCGUGUAGGCGGCCGUGCAAGUCGGGUGUGAAAGCCCUCGGCUCAACCGAGGAAGUGCGCCCGAAACUGCAUGGCUUGAGUACCGGAGAGGGUGGCGGAAUUCCCCAAGUAGAGGUGAAAUUCGUAGAUAUGGGGAGGAACACCGGUGGCGAAGGCGGCCACCUGGACGGAUACUGACGCUGAGACGCGAAAGCGUGGGGAGCAAACAGG